AUUGAACGCUGGCGGCAGGCCUAACACAUGCAAGUCGAGCGGAUGAAGGGAGCUUGCUCCUGGAUUCAGCGGCGGACGGGUGAGUAAUGCCUAGGAAUCUGCCUGGUAGUGGGGGAUAACGUCCGGAAACGGGCCCUAAUACCGCAUACGUCCUGAGGGAGAAAGUGGGGGAUCUUCGGACCCCACGCUAUCAGAUGAGCCUAGGUCGGAUUAGCUAGUUGGUGGGGUAAAGGCCUACCAAGGCGACGAUCCGUAACUGGUCUGAGAGGAUGAUCAGUCACACUGGAACUGAGACACGGUCCAGACUCCUACGGGAGGCAGCAGUGGGGAAUAUUGGACAAUGGGCGAAAGCCUGAUCCAGCCAUGCCGCGUGUGUGAAGAAGGUCUUCGGAUUGUAAAGCACUUUAAGUUGGGAGGAAGGGCAGUAAGUUAAUACCUUGCUGUUUUGACGUUACCAACAGAAUAAGCACCGGCUAACUUCGUG
RNAcentral lists this ribosomal RNA (484 nucleotides) under uncultured bacterium. RNAcentral's name for it is "partial 16S ribosomal RNA". It matches the Rfam family "Bacterial small subunit ribosomal RNA", at positions 30 to 507 of the family's 1533-position model. The record is from RNAcentral.